CUCAGACGACGCUGGCGGCGUGCUUAACACAUGCAAGUCGAACGAUGAAGCCCUUCGGGGUGGAUUAGUGGCGAACGGGUGAGUAACACGUGGGCAAUCUGCCCUUCACUCUGGGACAAGCCCUGGAAACGGGGUCUAAUACCGGAUAACACUUCCUGCCGCAUGGUGGGGGGUUAAAAGCUCCGGCGGUGAAGGAUGAGCCCGCGGCCUAUCAGCUUGUUGGUGGGGUGAUGGCCUACCAAGGCGACGACGGGUAGCCGGCCUGAGAGGGCGACCGGCCACACUGGGACUGAGACACGGCCCAGACUCCUACGGGAGGCAGCAGUGGGGAAUAUUGCACAAUGGGCGAAAGCCUGAUGCAGCGACGCCGCGUGAGGGAUGACGGCCUUCGGGUUGUAAACCUCUUUCAGCAGGGAAGAAGCGAAAGUGACGGUACCUGCAGAAGAAGCGCCGGCUAACUACGUGCCAGCAGCCGCGGUAAUACGUAGGGCGCAAGCGUUGUCCGGAAUUAUUGGGCGUAAAGAGCUCGUAGGCGGCUUGUCACGUCGGAUGUGAAAGCCCGGGGCUUAACCCCGGGUCUGCAUUCGAUACGGGCUAGCUAGAGUGUGGUAGGGGAGAUCGGAAUUCCUGGUGUAGCGGUGAAAUGCGCAGAUAUCAGGAGGAACACCGGUGGCGAAGGCGGAUCUCUGGGCCAUUACUGACGCUGAGGAGCGAAAGCGUGGGGAGCGAACAGGAUUAGAUACCCUGGUAGUCCACGCCGUAAACGUUGGGAACUAGGUGUUGGCGACAUUCCACGUCGUCGGUGCCGCAGCUAACGCAUUAAGUCCCCGCCUGGGA
Molecule: ribosomal RNA, 837 nt
Filed under: Streptomyces sp.
Lineage: Bacteria; Bacillati; Actinomycetota; Actinomycetes; Kitasatosporales; Streptomycetaceae
Description: bacterial SSU rRNA
Rfam family: Bacterial small subunit ribosomal RNA
Source: RNAcentral